Molecule: long non-coding RNA, 1305 nt
Filed under: Homo sapiens (human)
Lineage: Eukaryota; Metazoa; Chordata; Mammalia; Primates; Hominidae
Description: HSALNT0117314
Source: RNAcentral
GUGUAAUUAGGGCCUUCUGCCCCAAUUGCCUCCAGGUGGGUGGAUGCUGCUCAGCCCCCGCAGGGCAUGUGGUCUGUCCUGGGCUGGCUGGGCUCCCAGUGCAAGCUGGGUUUUGUGUUUUCUUAGCAUUAACGCAGAAGAGAUUUUCCCGCAGGCUGGCUAACCCUAACCCUAACCCUGGCCUUUUACAUUCGGGUGUGGCUGGAGUUCAGCUCCAGGUCUCAGGCGAGUGCUGGGGCAGGCUGCAGUCUAGGCAGGCCCGGCCUGGCACGGCCCUCGCUCUGGCUGAAGCUGAUGGAACUGCCGCCAUUUCCCAAAGUAAAGGAGGUGAGCUCUGGGGUGGGUGAGGUUUCAUCGGUAGCCCGGCCUCCGUGGAUCGCUGCAUGAGCCGGGAAGGUAAGCCGAGCGGUAGGACGUCCGACGCUUAUCAGCGACUGAGCUGGCCGUGUUUAGGAGGACGGGGUGAUGCCACUGACACUGAGGGAGGCGUGAAGCCUGAGACGCGCCUGUGAGACCGGGACCGGUGGGGCCGGCGCGCGCCCAGAUUCCAGCUCUGCCCCAGGAGCCUGAAGCCCCCAGCAACCUGCAGUGUGGGCUCUGAGAAACUCGGUGAAACAGGGCUUCCCUGCAGGUGGCCAGCGGAUGGGACAAUCAGGGCAGACUUGGAGGUCUCUGAAGUCUUGGAAAGUCUGAAGGGCAGGCCAGCCUGGGAGAUGGAGGACACACUGGAGUGGCAGGUGCCUCGGGCGGCCGGCUGAGCACCAAAGAGGGACUUCUCACACACAGGUCCGCUUGGUCUCCUACACGCUUGCCCACGCGCUCCGUGGAUGCAGGAGCCGUGGUUAUCCUUGGCAGAAGGUUGAGUAGCACCUGCCUUGCCAGGGACCUGCUCCAAGCAGGCACGUCUGGUGAAUGCUGUGCCAGGCCCUUCCGGGAGCAGCCCCUCCCCGGGUGCCGGGGUCACCUGGCUCUGCCUGCCUGCAUGUGGAUCCCUGCGGGGCAGCGGGCACCCGGAUGACGUGGUUUUCCCUCACUGGAUUGGAGUGGAGUGAAUUUAACCCCCUCGUGGCUGCCAUCAUUUUCACUGUGAGGGAAGAGCAGCCGUGCCGUGGUGGUUUUAGAUGUCGUCUGUGGAGGACAUCAGGCUGACAUCCACGUCCUGGACUCCCCCUCGUUUGGUUUCAGAAUUUCUCUUAAAGACAACAUCAUAUUGUGACCCCAAAGCAUUCGAUAGAAAUAUCAAAAUUUUAAGGCACUUUGAGAAUUAAGAUAAAAUAUCUGUAAAUAUUAUGUCAAAUUUCACCA